Small nucleolar RNA from Rattus rattus (black rat), 128 nucleotides. RefSeq annotates it as small nucleolar RNA SNORA17. Lineage: Eukaryota; Metazoa; Chordata; Mammalia; Rodentia; Muridae. The record is from RefSeq and is a predicted model, not a curated record. The transcript has a single exon.
AGGGCCACUAGAGGAUUACACAUAUGACUGCUGUGUCACAUGUGUCAGUAGGUGGCAAAGGUAGACAGGCUAUGUCUAUGCUCAGUGUUCUGAAUUGCCAACAUCUGAAUGAUUAAUAGUGUGAUAUU